Xenia sp. Carnegie-2017 is the source of this 734-nucleotide long non-coding RNA. RefSeq lists it as uncharacterized. NCBI's taxonomy places the organism in Eukaryota, Metazoa, Cnidaria, Anthozoa, Malacalcyonacea, Xeniidae. The transcript is spliced from 3 exons. The record is from RefSeq and is a predicted model, not a curated record.
AAAUGUCAAAUUCAUCGAGAUCUAGCUCGCUUUCUGAGUCUUCGAUCGAGACAAACGCAUCGAUUUCUUCAUCGGAAUUCAUGACGGCAAAUUCGGACGAAUCUAAUUCGGAAAUUUUGCCAUUUGCCGAUAAUAUUGAACCGCUUGCUUCGCCUGAUUAAAUUGCUGAGUACGAAGCUGCAGUCGCAGAAGAACGGCAGGUUGAGGACAUGCUGCAAGAUCGUUUUGAUGCCCGUGUUGAUGUUACUUCAUGGUGUGAAUGUGGCCAUUGUUCGUUGGAUCUUGUUGUCAACCCUCAAGAGUGCCGAUGCUGCAUGGAAUUAGAGCAAUGCCGUGGUAAAAUGUAUCAGUUCGAAGUCGAUGAAAGGAAAUGCAUUUUGGAUCACACUGGCUUUAACGAAGUUUGACUGAACGAAUUUGUUCUUCAAGCAGCUUCGUUAGGUUUAAAGACCAAAGGUCAUCCCAGUUAUGCGACCGUUUUUCGAGAUGGUCAAAAGACCAGAGAGGAGUUCUUUCGAGCAGUAUCGUACAGACAACUCGUGCGUCUUCUAUGGGACUUUACAGGCAGCUCCAGACAUUUGCCACUGCCUUGUUGUUGUUACAACAAAACACGGACGAUAUUUUUCUUCUUGAAAAUAGCACGAAUCUUCUUUCUUCAUGCAUGAUACAGACACUUCAUUUUGUAUUUCCUUUAAAACCUUAGUAUAAAUGUAUAUUAUAUAUUGAAAGUUUGC